GACGAACGCUGGCGGCGUGCUUAACACAUGCAAGUCGAACGAUGAAGCUGGAGCUUGCUCCGGCGGAUUAGUGGCGAACGGGUGAGUAACACGUGAGCAAUCUGCCCUUCACUCUGGGAUAACUGCGGGAAACUGUAGCUAAUACCGGAUACGAGGCUUGGAGGCAUCUCCAGGUCUGGAAAGAAUUUCGGUGAAGGAUGAGCUCGCGGCCUAUCAGCUUGUUGGUGAGGUAAUGGCUCACCAAGGCGACGACGGGUAGCCGGUCUGAGAGGGUGACCGGCCACACUGGGACUGAGACACGGCCCAGACUCCUACGGGAGGCAGCAGUGGGGAAUAUUGCACAAUGGGCGAAAGCCUGAUGCAGCAACGCCGCGUGAGGGAUGAAGGCCUUCGGGUUGUAAACCUCUUUUAGCAGGGAAGAAGCGAAAGUGACGGUACCUGCAGAAAAAGCACCGGCUAACUACGUGCCAGCCGCCGCAGUAA
Molecule: ribosomal RNA, 483 nt
Filed under: uncultured bacterium
Lineage: Bacteria
Description: partial 16S ribosomal RNA
Rfam family: Bacterial small subunit ribosomal RNA
Source: RNAcentral